GCAACACAGUGACUGCUGCACCCAGAGCCUGUUCCUCUCCCAACUCCUUGAAAUUCUCAGCUCCUUCCUCAAGCCCCUGCUCCUAUGAAUUGGUUACACCUCCAUCAUGCUGCAAAAAUUAAUUUUGUUAUACAUCUAUGUCAUUCAGAGCUAUCAUUCCUGAAGCUUUUGGUCCUGCUCCAACAGUGGUGUUUGCAAUCCAGGACUGUCGUGCAUUUUCCAUCAUUAUCUUCUAUGGAGUUCUUCAUUCCCGUAUCUGUGGCCCUUAAAAUCCUACGAUUGAGUGCCUGUCUUGGAUCGGCCAUCAGUUCGUUACCUUGGUUCUCAGACGAUGCUUGCAACAACGCAAUGGGAUUCACCCACUCUUGG
This 369-nucleotide long non-coding RNA is filed under the name Pongo abelii (Sumatran orangutan). RNAcentral describes it as "lincRNA". Lineage: Eukaryota; Metazoa; Chordata; Mammalia; Primates; Hominidae. The record is from RNAcentral.